AUUGAACGCUGGCGGCAUGCCUUACACAUGCAAGUCGAACGGCAGCACGGGUGCUUGCCCCUGGUGGCGAGUGGCGAACGGGUGAGUAAUACAUCGGUACAUGUCCUUUAGUGGGGGGUAGCCCGGCGAAAGCCGGAUUAAUACCGCAUACGAUCUGCGUAUGACAGCGGGGGGCCUUCGGGCCUCGCGCUAUAGGGUUGGCCGAUAGCGGAUUGGCUAGUUGGUGGGGUAAAGGCCUACAAAGGCGACGAUCAGUGGCUGGUGUGAGAGGACGACCAGCCACACUGGGACUGAGACACGGCCCAGACUCCUACGGGAGGCAGCAGUGGGGAAUGUUGGACAACGGGCGAAAGCCUGAUCCAGCAAUGCCGCGUGUGUGAAGAAGGCCUUCGGGUUGUAAAGCACUUCUGUCCGGAGAGAAAUCCUUGGCUCUAAUACAGUCGGGGGAUGACGGUACCGGAAGAAUAAGCACCGGCUAACUACGUG
Molecule: ribosomal RNA, 486 nt
Filed under: uncultured bacterium
Lineage: Bacteria
Description: partial 16S ribosomal RNA
Rfam family: Bacterial small subunit ribosomal RNA
Source: RNAcentral